UCCUUUCACAAGUGGCCAUCAAGAACAGCGGGUUUUCUGUCUAAGAGGCUUCUGAGAUUUGAAAAACGGUGGCUAAUGAUGACAACAGCAACAGCACGGAGCACAGAAAACUCUACAGGCCUGGGGUCGGCUCAUCGCACAGCCUCCAUCUCUGGAUGCCCUGUUCUCCCCACUCCAGAAAAAAUCAAAUCAGAUUGUGAAUUUAUUCCCUGACAUUAACACGUGGCAUUACAGGAGCAUGUACAUCACAUGGUCAAUUUAUUGGCAUAAGGAUUAUGUCAUUGGGGAAUAAAUGGGAAAUUCUCAAGGUA
Symphalangus syndactylus (siamang) is the source of this 311-nucleotide long non-coding RNA. RefSeq lists it as uncharacterized. NCBI's taxonomy places the organism in Eukaryota, Metazoa, Chordata, Mammalia, Primates, Hylobatidae. The record is from RefSeq and is a predicted model, not a curated record.